RNAcentral lists this ribosomal RNA (464 nucleotides) under uncultured bacterium. RNAcentral describes it as "partial 16S ribosomal RNA". It matches the Rfam family "Bacterial small subunit ribosomal RNA", at positions 28 to 507 of the family's 1533-position model. The record is from RNAcentral.
GACGAACGCUGGCGGCGUGCUUAACACAUGCAAGUCGAGCGAUGAAGUUCCUUUCGGGGUACGGAUUAGCGGCGGACGGGUGAGUAACACGUGGGUAACCUGCCUCCCAGAGGGGGAUAGCCUCCUGCAAGGGAGAUUAAUACCUCAUAAUAUCUUUUUAAUGCCUGUUAGAUCGAUUAAAGGAGCCAUCCGUUUUGAGAUGGACCCGCGGCGCAUUAGCUCGUUGGGUAGUUAACGCCACACCAAGGCGACGAUGCGUAGCCGACAAGAGAGGGUGAUCGGCGACAUUGGGACUGAGACACGGCCGAGACUCCUACGGGAGGCAGGAGUGGGGGAUAGUGCGCAAUGGGGGAAACCAUGACGCAGCAACGACGCGUGAGUGAUGAAGGUCUUCGGAUCGUAAAGCUCUGGCUUCAGGGACGAUAAUGACGGUACCUGAGGAGGAAGCCACGGCUAACUACGUG